Molecule: unclassified non-coding RNA, 7676 nt
Filed under: Leishmania donovani
Lineage: Eukaryota; Euglenozoa; Kinetoplastea; Trypanosomatida; Trypanosomatidae
Description: gene:LdHU3.13.1200(CDS-product:hypothetical_prote in_conserved)
Source: RNAcentral
UCAUGCAUAAAGCGAAAAGCGCUCAUUCUACUUUUCCGCACUCGCUUGUGCUCUUGGUGCCGUGUGUAACGUCUUCCUUACACGCUCUCUUUUCCUUGUUCCCGUAUCUGCGCGUACCGGACCAGAGCAGAAAGGCGCUUGCCGCUUGCCCCUUUGCCGCUCCUGUUCUCGCGCAUCCUUGCGUUCUGUCGCAUCUCUCCAUCACAGAAACGGCAAGGGGCGUGCUGGUGUGCGAGCGUCGCCAUAUACAGAGAGAAGACCGAAGUCGCUGCCCCCACGCAGCAGCAGAGCGCGGAGCUACGGAGGGAGGUGCACGCAAAAACAGCAACGAGCACUUACUUGUACAAGGGCCGCAAAAUCAAAAUAGAUUCGCAUCGCGAUCGCGCCAGCCUGGGCGUAUCUGUGUGCGUCUCUCUCUCUCUCUGCUUUCCCGACUCUCGCACGCGAUAGUGUCGCACACUCACCGAGGCGGAGAGAGUGGGGUUCGGGGGAGACAACACAGAACGACCUCUCCCCGACUGUUGACGCGCUAGUUUUCCAUUCCGACUGCUUGGUAAGCUAAAGGCGAGCCCACGACAACAGCCUCCUCGAUCCUCCACCUCCUUUUCAGCUUUUCGUGCCCGUCAUCUUCCUUUGUUGCUGUGGUUGUGGUUGUUGUGCAACCACAUCACUGCUUCAGCGCCUCUUCGCCAUCAUCGUCACUGAGGGCAGCGCACGCUUUCUCCCCGCACCCUUUCAAGAGGAGUAGUACUCUGCCCCCACCGCCACCGCCGCCACGAGCCCUCUUCUUGUGCCUAUCCCUGUGCCUCUCUGCAUCGGAACCUGCAACCUUCUUUAUCCUGCUAAUCUAUCAUUCACGUUCACGUUCUCUCUCCCCCUCUUCUUUCAUACUUAUUUUGUACCGGAUCUCUUCGUUUUUUGUUGCUGUGGCUGCUGUUCCCGUCAUCUUCGUCUCGCUCGCACUCUCUCUAUUCCUUCCCUCCCUCCUCCCCCUCCAGCAUCUCUUGUGGUUUCGUCGGCCUUUUCCUUUUCUGAGCAGUGAGAGACGGCGCGUGUGCGCCUAUUCACGCUUUUUUUCACGCACACGCACAUACAUAGCAUUUUGUCUUUUUCCUGUACCUAAACAAGUGUGCGUGUGUGCGUGUGCGCCACCCCCUUGCUCCCCUGUUUCUCUUUUGCCUUGGGUCUCCCUCCCCUCACCGACGACUCUCCUCUCUUGUGUUGUCUUCUUUUUCGUGUUCGACUUGGCGUGGCUGUCGUACCUUUUACACGUCUACCUUCUCGCUCGCUGGUGAAUUAGCAUGCUGCUGUUGCGUGGGUCGUGCGGUGCUCCUCGUCAACUCGCUGUUUCGUUCCCCCCCCCUGCCGCCGCCGUCGCCGCCCCCACCACCCUCCACACUCCGGUUGUUGCGUUUUUCGUUCUUCGACGGUUUUCUGCGUUGUGUCUUCGUCUCCGUGUGUCGUGCGUCUGUGCGUGGGUGAGUGACGCCUUACCUUGCCGUGCCUGUGGCGGGCUCGUCCUUUGCGCCAUCGGCCGAGAGCCGCCCCAGAAAGACGGCGAAGGCGUAAGUCGACAAGGGCGAGGAGCGUACACGUUAAAGAAAGAGGAGGUGUGAAGGACGGAGUUCUCGAAGCGCGACGCACAAGGGAGAGCGGCGGGACAACGGUCAUUGUGUUUGGCGGCAUUUCGCGGCUGGCCGGUGUGGACCUCUUCGCCUUUUCUUCGCUCUUGCCGGCAAGAGCGACGAGGGAGAGAGGGUGAGGUGGGGCGACCCGCACGCAACAGACGAAGGAAAUUGAGUCGAUGCCCCUCCCCUCCCCCCCCCUGCAACACCCUCCUGCUAGCCGACCUGUUUUCUGCACACGUGUCUCUGUCUGUCUGUGUGUGUGUCUUCACGUCUCUGCUGUGCAUCUCUCCCUCCUCCAUCACCUCGGCCCGUGCUCGUACUCGCUUUUCGUUUUGCGGCUGCGCAGGCAGACGGUGGCAUCGCGUGCCGCCUCAGGUGAGCCUCACCUACCUCUGUUUUGUUGUUGCUUUUGGGGGAGGUGCAUGGGUUAUUGCUCCCUCCUCCUCAUCCUCCUCUUCGUCGGGUAUUCCAGCCGGUGUCGUACCCCACCCCUCCCUCUCUCCCGUCCGCUGCUCUGUCUCCGUCGCUGAGCUUCUCAGCCGAAAAGCGGAACAAACCUGCGUUGCAGCCAACAGGCGACGAGCCCCCCCCCCACAACAGCCCGAAGGAACCUCACGCAGAGCCGUGCUCACACACGCGCACACAUCUUUUUAUACAUACGCACACCUACACCUAGACGUGGACAUUGUACCGACUCCUUACUCGCAUAUUCUCGUCGCUCGUGUGUGUGUGUAUCUUGUCCACCUGCACCCUCCAACGCUGUCUGUUUCUCCUCCUUCAUUUCUGUCUCUUCGUGUGGUGGUGACGAGUGGCUGCCGUUGUAUGACGCACUUGCCUCCACUCUGCUGCCCCGCCCAUCUUUUUCUACCGUCACCUCUUCCGUCUCCGUCCGCGUGUGUGCUGCGUGGCCUUUUCGGGGGGGGAAUAUAUAUCUGUGUGUGUGUGUGUGUAUCCCUGCGAGGGGCGCCUUUCACGAGUUCGGCGGCCUCGUGUCGUCGUUGAGCUCUUGGUCGCGGCUGUCAUUGCUGCCACGCGCGGAACGAAGCCGACGAAGACGAAGAGGAGGAGGAAGGGAGGGGAGGGGGGGAAGUGAAGCGAAAUGGGCAAUGCACAGGCACGCGGCGUAGGCGGUGGUGGUCUACGCAACAGCAAGGAGCCGAUCUUACCCGCAUCAACUUCAGUGAACCCGCUGUGCUACCCCUCAAACCUCGUCAAUCGCACGAGUGCCCUGCCACUGCCGUCUAGCCGGCAGCCACGGGCGCCGGAAACCUCUUCCAUGCUAUCACUGAGCACCUUCGGAGCACCUGAACGAGUAGAGAGGCCGCAACAGCAACCCUCCUCGCUAUUUGUGGACGGUAAAGCCCGAGGAGGCCGCGGACGCGAUGAGGACAAGUCAAGCCGCAGGGUGUUGGUCGCCGUGGAGGAGGCAAGCAACGCCCCUCGCCGGCUCUCCAUUUCUCCAAGCCCCAACGCGUUGGCGCCGUCGCAGUCGGUCAGUGGCACCAUCGCCUCGCAAAGCCCAUCUGCGGCCGUGAAGCCGCGGCGAAUGACCAGCAAGGCACGUGACAUUCUUCGCGGCAUCUUCGUCCCUCGCCAAGGGGAGCUGGAGUGUGUGCUCUCCGGCUUCCUCACCCGAGAGGAUUACGCCCUUAUGCGGCGCUUCUGGGCACCUUUUCUGACGACGGAGCUGAGGGAUAAGUGGUACAUCGACGCGGUGAUGCUCUCCGUGCUCGGCAGGGAUCGUUGGCGGUCGUGGGGUCAGCCAAAGGAGGCCGCUUGUGUCUCCUUCAGCCGGGAAGAGGUGCUGCAGUUGAACCAGAAGCGACGGGAGUGCUACGAUCGGCUGCGCGAGUGCCUCACGGAGCUGAGCGGCGCCUUGAUGGCGAAGGGCGACCACCGUGGAAGGAAGAGAAAUCGGGAGACGCUGAUGGCGGGCAACCAUUGCCACGAAGUCGCCGUGGCUGGAGUCUCUGCAGUCGAGUCGGAUGGCAUCUCUUGCAGCGGCAAGGACGGCAACCACAGAAGCGCCGACGCCCAUUUGCUUGGCCGCGCCAGCACUUCUCAGCCUGAUCGGCUUUGCGUCCCCGACGCGACAACGACGGUGCAGCGCCAGGAGCCGCUGAGCGUGUUGCUCAUGCGCCUGCAGACAACCGUGUCCACCAGCUUCGACUGCUUCGACCUCAUCGCCGCGCGAGUCCCUGCCGCCAUCGUCUCCUCGCUGCCGAGUCAGUAUUUCUCGAGCUCCACUCCAGUCGUGUACGAGCAGGUGGCGUACCAGGAGAAGAAGAAAGGCGACCUCGACGCGCUCUCCUUCUUCGUUACCAUCGAGUCGCGGCGACAGCUUCUCAAUGGGCGCGUGCCGGCCGACAUGAACCGCAACGCAACAUCAAACAUGAACGGUCACAACAACGUUGACCCCGGCGACCUCGUCCUCUUUACUCGCGAGGACAAGGAGGGCCCGAUCCAGACCACACAACAGCUCUACUCAGCCGUCCGCCACGCCGGGCUGGUCGUUACGACAGCGUGCUCGUCAAUGGUGCUGACAGUACUUUUCCACAUCGCCGAUGUGCUGUGCAAGCGGCAGGCGUUCCGUGACAACAAGGCAAAGGCGGCGCAGCUCGGUAUCACACUCGAGCGGCUGAUUGACCGCAAGGCUGCCCCUGUGCACACGUACGCGGAUAAGGCAGUGGAGAAGCUUGAGGCGCUCAAGCGCGACGUCGUCACGGGCGAGAUGUCGCUGACGGUGCUGGCGAACGAGUUGGUAUCGCGCUUCCUUAGCGAGAACCGUGCCAAGAUGGAAAAGCUGCGGGACUGCUACCCCGAUCUCUUCGCUUACCUGGAGAUGGCCGCGACGCCGGAGGAGCGAGAUGACUUUGAUGUGACGCGGUUGCUGAGCGGGAUAGCGCUGAAGCUGAUGUUCCUGACCGGCGGUGGCCAGCGCAGCAUCGUCGCAGAUGACCGCCGUGUGCCGGCUGGAGGAAACCGGAUCACAGACGACGUGGCGCUCAGCACCAUGCUCGAGGUGCCGAUUCUCAACCUCAUCUGCUGGAUUGGGUGCAUGAUGGGCAUGCCGAUCAUGUCGAGCCACGGCCUCCUCGCCCCGCAGCACCAAAGCAAGCCGCCGCUCACCCUCAUGGAGAUGGACGAGUGCUGCGGGGCGAUGCGCGUGCUGUUCCAGGCCGUCGGCGCCCUGCCUUGCGGUAACGCUUGCCCGCAGAAUAUCAAGGAGUGGUUUCCGCUCUUCCCCUUCUACGCGGUGAACUCGGAGGGCAAGCGCGUCCUCCUCUACCUUUACACCGCCCAGGUCACCGCCAUCCAACGAGUGCCGCUGACGCUGCAGAAAGACAUGAUGCUCCUCUCCUUCGCGACGGCGUUUACGAGAGUCAUGGGCCGAGGCAUGGCGGACAUCUCCAACUACUUUUUCGAGCCGAACUUCACUGUUGGCCACUCCCCCUGCAACGCAGACAGCAACAACGGCAUGGCCAGCGCGGAUGCGACGCAGCGGUCGGCGAGCCCAAGUGAACCGAUGUUGCCGUCGAUGAGCGGCAGUGGUGCCUCGUGGUCAAAGAGCACGGCCUUUGAGCGUAGGACGUCCCCCAGUGUCUCCCCAUCACGGACCACAGCAGACGGCAAGGCUCGCAGAGAUGAGUGCCGCAGCUCCUCGGCCUCCUCCGACGCGUCCUCCGCGUGUAGCACGUUGAUGGAGGAGAACCUCAACAUCGACGUGUACACUUGCAUGAAUCCGCAGAUGCAGCUGUACGUGCGCUGCAGCAACGAGGCCACGACGCGCCGACACGGCGUGACGGAGCUGACGCCUUUCGUGAGCACCACCUUCUACUGUUCGACUCGCGACAUUGAGGCUGACCGGCUCGAUAUCGCGCCGGCGCUCUGCCACGCUGUGCCGAAGCUGCUGCCUAGUGAGGGCUUCUUGACGCUUCGCUGGACAUCUGGCGAGCCGUUGGUAACCUUCUGCGCCGGCGACCUCGUCUCCGUCAUGGCAGAGCGCGUGGCCACGUCGGCGGCGGACGGCGGUGAUGCGACAAGAGUGUCUAGCUCGUCGCAGCAGCAGUCGCGCACCUCCAGUGCACCCGACUUCACCGGCGCCACCCCCCGCGUGCCCGAGGGCAAUGAUGCGUUGGACGCGCUGAUGAGUGGAAAGGAAGGUGCGAUUGGGACCGCGGACGACAACAGCGGCAACGCGGCAGCUGCGAGGGCGCGGACGCACCUGGUCACCAUUGAUGAGCCCGAGAAGCACAGCAGUGACACGGUCUCAUCUCUCCACAGCCACGCGGGCGCCUACAGCACCGCCUUGGAGGACGACUCCAUGGCCAUGUCCAGCAGCGGCUGCCCCGUGCUGGAGACGGCGCACGUGUACCAAGGCGUCAUGCACGACGUCCUCGACCUGCAUGAAAAGGUUAGCCGCCGCAUUGGUGUGCAGUGGAAAGUGCUCGAGGUGCUGCCGUGCAGCCCACUCGCUAGGCGAUCGUGUCGCAUGAGCGGGAGCAACUCGUUGAGCGCGGUGGCGGCGGCCGGGAAUCAGGACGAGAGUGACAGGCACAACGCGUACUACAGAGAGGUGGUCCUGCAUGUCACGGCGCUGGACAUGCCGUUCGCAGUUCCGCUGCGCAUCUUGACCAUCGGCCACGAACGCGCCUCCAUGAGCGCCUUCACCUUCGUCGACCCGAGCGAUGAUACGGUGUGCUGGUCGAAUCCGAACCUGAUCGCCUCCAUCUUGAAUAGCGACUGGAGCCAGGACGGCGGCAAGAGCAGCCGCCCUGCACUCGCAGACGUCAUGGCGGCGGCGGCGAAUGAGCUCACGCUUCCGGCAGCAGCGGCAGCGGCAGUCAGGGGCAGCCAUCCUGUUCCGAGUGGGCUGCUCUGCGACACGGAGGAGGCGCUGCACAGUAUUUACUACUCGAUCGGCGUUCUCCUCGGUAACGCCAUCACGAACGGCGUGCACUUCACGGCUCCGAUCGCGCCGUUGGCAUUCCUACUGAUGAAGAAGGCGAUAAUGAGCGGUGACUACUCCUUCAAGAACUUCAUGUGGCUGGAGCCGGCGGAUGGCAACCUUCUAAGCCCGACGCUGCUGCUGAACUCCGCCUAUGAAAUUCUGAACAUGACGGAUCACCAGUACGUGGCCUUCCUACACAUGCGCGGCCUGGGCAACCCUGACUCGCACAUCUUCCCGGUCGUUCACAGUCUUGCCGACGAAAUUAGUGAGGGCAAGGCAUCGCUGCUGCAGCAGCAGUCGAACUCUCAGGCAUCGUCGUCGAAGCAGCAGCACCGUCGGCAAGGCUCGCAAUAUGUCAAGCUCCGUUUGCAUCAGCGAUCGUGCGACGCAACGAACGCCUCGAUUCCGCUGGACCGCUCGCUGAACACACCCAGAACGUCGGUGAGCGUACUCGGGUACUUGGAGUCGAUCCAAGCCUACAACCGCACGGGAAGCGCAUUCCACCGCAGCAGCUGCGACAUGAGCAACGAUAGCGGUGGCGGUGGCAGCUUUAUGCCCUCCUUCUUGCUUGGCGCGCACGUGCCUGUUCAGGACGCAAUACAAGAGUAUCGUGAGCAGCAGCAGAGACAGCAGACAACGGCGAUAAAGAGCAGUGCCCCUCCGCUGGUGCUGAAUAGCCGAAGCGACGACCAGCUGCACGCGCGUCUGCCCUCGCGCCGCGAGUACAUCGCGCUUUACCUCGCGAACGACCUUGCCUGGAGCUCCGUGCGCCGUGACGGCCACAGGGCGAAGAACAAGGAGUUGUGGGUGAGCAUGGCUCGCGGAUUCAUGACCUCCUCCCUGGCGAAGAGUCCGCUCAUGACGCACUGCUGCUCACGUGUGAUACGCGAGGUGUUGUGCGUGCCACGCAAAGCAAGUUAGCGUCUUCCCUCUUUUCUGCCACCGCCACCCUCCAGCACCGCUGAGUACUCUGCGUGCACACAGACGCGCGCGCGCGCACACACACACACAGGCGCUCUGGCGCACGCAGGCACGCCACCUUCUUCGUUUCUUUUUUUUUGUUAUUGUUGUUCAUUGACAUCGCUCUAUUCGCCUUG